CUCUCUCUCUCUCUCUGUAUUUACCUCCAUAAUAAAACACACAUAAUACACACGCACAAGGUGCAAACUCGUUUAAUUAUUAAAACUGUAAUGCUUAUGAGAUAUUAGUCACUCGUUUAUAAAACAUAAAUGUAUUUAAGACUUUUUUUGUCAGAAGGGCCAACAACAUUUGGCCAUUACAGUAACUUCUUCGUGCCAUCACAUUCCAUUUUCUUUUCUUGCCAAGGCGCAGAUAAAACUUUCCCCAGGCAUCACAGCCUUCUAAAAGUCCACCAAGCCGUAUAGUGAUGUGCAAGGCAUUUCUUUUUACUCAAACAAUUUGGAGAGAUGGGUUGUGUUCAGGCCAAUUUCAAAAACAUCUUCCUAAUUAAAAGCAAUGCAAUCGACCCGGGGACAAGGUGUAUGAAGUUUGUCUGAUGUGCAUCUGUCAUCGAUCAGAAGGGAUUAAUGGAAGGAACGGUGUCUUAUCAGCUGCUGUGAGCAUCACACAACCCUCGGCUUCCGCGAAAAACAGCGGCAGGAUCCGUCGCGCAUUUACAGGCAUGAAAUUACUAUCAAAUCCCCAAAGCGCUCGGCAAACGAAGGGUGCGCGCUGCGCGGGUGAGAGAUUGUGUUGGAUCUGAUGUGGACUAAAACAAAUGAAAGGAAGAUGCAUGCAACAGAUAUCUGACUAACCCCACGCCAGAUACGCCUGCAUACGUUUAUUGUCGCUAUUGAAAGAAACAAGCCGCUGUGGUUCAGAAGUCAAACGGAGGUCAUCCUUUAUAUCCCCCCGCAGCAAUCUCCGACCAGGGGCCAGUCAACAGUGAACCCUGCCUUCUCCACCACUGACAACUGCAUGAAAGUUACAAGACUAUCGGGAAUGGGUAAAACGCACUGGGAUUACACAGUAGGCUAUUAACUUUUUUCUUGAUCUUGCCACUGCUUAAUGCUUUGACAACAUGUUUAAAGUGCUUAUCAAAUAUAACUCAAUGUUUAAAUACUUAAAUGUUCGUUUAUUAACUUUGAAUUGACUUAAAUAAGCGCGCAAUGAAGACGCUGUAGCCAUUUGGAUAGUUUAAAAUAAAAACAGAAAAUCAUUAUUUACUAAUCCAGAAAAAAAACGGUUAAAAUUGAUCUAGCACAGAUGUACGCAUCAAAGAAUUUACAUAGUCUAUAAUAUAACACUGCAAAACUAAACAUGAAACUUUUGUAAAUUUAGUUAAAUUAUACAGAUUACGUGAAAUAAUCACUGUGAUAAAUCUUUGUUUAAUAACAAUUAGCCUACAUUAAACAACGUCUUUAAAUAUCCAUUUAAGUCUAUACGUUAUGCUACAGGUAAAGUUACAAUACUUUUUUAUUUACUGACUAUUUACUAGUUGUUUAUUAGUUAAAACGUAACAAAGAAAGCGCUAUAUUGACAAUAAACAGUUUGUUUUUCUACUAAUCAUUUUUGUACAAUAUAGGACAAAUUAAAACUGCUUACAACGACAUCGUAGACAAACAUGUACGUUGUGAUUUCACAUUUUGAUUUUAUUUUGUUUUGCAUUAAUUUCCUUAUUUAAUUUAUUUUUUUCUUAUUUGCAACAAAUAUUAUUAAUCCCAAUACAGGUUUAUUGCAUUUGCAAAAAUAUAAACUACUACACAAGGUUCAAAAGAAAAACAUAUUUUCAUAUGCAAGGCUUUCAGUGAUCUGUAUGCUUGGUCAUGUGCGCCUUCUACUGGAUACACACAGAAUCUACUUUCUUUCUUUAUUAAUGAGAGCCGUAACGACUUCUCCGAAAUAUACAAAACAGACGAAUUACAGCAACAGUAUCUCUGUCCUAUAAAAUAACUUUAAAACAUUCAACAACACUAUUUAAGUAUAUGCCAGUGCGUAUUGUUUAUUUAUUUAUAAACAUUUAAGACUGCUUAAUUGUAUUUUGGUUGAAGUCAUCAUCGUCAAAAGAUCAACAUUUUGUCAUUUCUAGGUUUUACUUUGCUAAAAGAAUGAUUGAAAAUGCCGGCUUUAAUUUUUCUGCUUUCUCUUAAAUUCAGAAUAUACAUAUUUAAAUAAAUUCUAGCAGUUUUUAAAAGCUUUUGUAAAAACUCAAUCAAACUUAAUCA
This is a long non-coding RNA of Triplophysa rosa, 2085 nucleotides long. RefSeq lists it as uncharacterized. Lineage: Eukaryota; Metazoa; Chordata; Actinopteri; Cypriniformes; Nemacheilidae. The transcript is spliced from 3 exons. The record is from RefSeq and is a predicted model, not a curated record.